GAUGAACGCUGGCGGCGUGCCUAAUACAUGCAAGUCGAGCGAACGGACGAGAAGCUUGCUUUUCUGAUGUUAGCGGCGGACGGGUGAGUAACACGUGGAUAACCUACCUAUAAGACUGGGAUAACUUCGGGAAACCGGAGCUAAUACCGGAUAAUAUUUUGAACCGCAUGGUUCAAAAGUGAAAGACGGUCUUGCUGUCACUUAUAGAUGGAUCCGCGCUGCAUUAGCUAGUUGGUAAGGUAACGGCUUACCAAGGCAAUGAUGCAUAGCCGACCUGAGAGGGUGAUCGGCCACACUGGAACUGAGACACGGUCCAGACUCCUACGGGAGGCAGCAGUAGGGAAUCUUCCGCAAUGGACGAAAGCCUGACGGAGCAACGCCGCGUGAGUGAUGAAGGUCUUCGGAUCGUAAAACUCUGUUAUUAGGGAAGAACAUAUGUGUAAGUAACUGUGCACAUCUUGACGGUACCUAAUCAGAAAGCCACGGCUAACUACGUG
This 497-nucleotide ribosomal RNA is filed under the name uncultured bacterium. RNAcentral describes it as "partial 16S ribosomal RNA". It matches the Rfam family "Bacterial small subunit ribosomal RNA", at positions 28 to 507 of the family's 1533-position model. The record is from RNAcentral.